CCCAGCCGUAAACGAUGGACGCUAGGUGUGGGGAUCGAAUGGUUUCCGCGCCGCAGCUAACGCAUUAAGCGUCCCGCCUGGGGAGUACGGCCGCAAGGCUAAAACUCAAAGGAAUUGACGGGGGCCCGCACAAGCAGCGGAGCAUGUGGCUUAAUUCGAAGCAACGCGAAGAACCUUACCAGGGCUUGACAUGCGCGUAAAGCGGCGGAAACGCCGUGGCCGAAAGGAGCGCGCACAGGUGGUGCAUGGCUGU
This 253-nucleotide ribosomal RNA is filed under the name uncultured bacterium. RNAcentral's name for it is "partial 16S ribosomal RNA". It matches the Rfam family "Bacterial small subunit ribosomal RNA", at positions 795 to 1052 of the family's 1533-position model. The record is from RNAcentral.